RNAcentral lists this ribosomal RNA (1625 nucleotides) under Chara braunii. RNAcentral's name for it is "eukaryotic LSU rRNA". Lineage: Eukaryota; Viridiplantae; Streptophyta; Charophyceae; Charales; Characeae. The record is from RNAcentral.
ACCUAUUCUCAAACUUUAAAUAGGUAAGAUUUCGGGGUUGCUUAAGCGAACCCCGAGGAUCAAUAAAAGCUCCAAGUUGGACAUUUUUGGUAAGCAGAACUGGCGAUGCGGGAUGAACCGAAAGCCGAGCUACGGUGCCAAACUGCGCGCUAACCCAGACACCACAAAGGGUGUUGAUUGAUACAGAVAGCAGGACGGUGGUCAUGGAAGUCGAAAUCCGCUAAGGAGUGUGUAACAACUCACCUGCCGAAWCAAUCAGCCCCGAAAAUGGAUGGCGCUGAAGCGCGCGACCUAUGCUCGGCCAUCGCAGCGAUUCUGACGCCGCAAUGAGUAGGAGGGUGCGGGGCCUACUGCGAAGCCUCCAGCGUGAGCCUAGGUGAAGCGGGUCYCGGUGUCGAUCUUGCUGGACAUGGGUCAGUCGGCCCUAAGAAAUGUGGAAACCUUGUAUCAAGGGCGCACUGCGCGCCGCACAUCGAAAGGGGGUCGGGUUAAUAUUCCCGAACCGGGUUGUGGAGGUGGAUGGUAAUGUAAGCAGCUCCGGAGAUGCYGGCGGGGGCCGUGGGGAGGGUUCUCUUUCUUUCUUGACGGCUUGCCCACCCUGGAAUCGGAUCAACCGGAGAUAGGGUGCAGCGCCCGACAAAGCACCGCGCGUACUGUGGUGUCUAGCGUGCCCCCGACGGCCCUUGAAAAUCUUGAGCUGCGGGUACCUCGCACGCUCAGGUCUCCUAGGUGAGCAGCCUCUGGUCAAAAGAGGAAUGUAGGUAAGGGAAGUCGRCAAUAUGGAUCCGUAACCUUGGGAAAAGGAUUGGCUCUGAGGGCUGGGCCGAGGGGUCUGCGCCUCGAUGUCGUUGGYUGCCGGUGGUCUGCCCGAGCUGCUCUCGCGGCGAGGGCGGAGCCCUCGUGCCAGUGUGCCAAUGGGCGUAGAAUGUCUUAUGUCCCCACCUUUCGGGUGUGGCCGUGGGACUCUCCCUACGUAUCAAACUGCCGACACAGAACUGGUGCGGACAAGGGGAAUAGACUGUUUAAUUAAAACAAAGCAUUGCAAUGGUCCCAACGGAUGUUGAGGCAAUGUGCCCAGUGCUCUGAAUGUCAAAGUGAAGAGAUUCCCAAGCGCGGGUAAACGGCGGGAGUAACUACGACUCUCUUAAGGUACAAAAUGCCUCGUCAUUUAAUUAGUGACGCGCAUGAAUGGAUUAACGAGAUUUCCACUCUCCCUAUCUACCAUCCUCCGAAACCACGGCCAAGGGAACAGGCUUGGAAGAAUCGGCAGCGAAAGAAGACCCUGUUGAGCUUGACUCUGGUUCGACUCUGUGAAAUGACUUGAGAGGUGUAGAAUAAGUGGGAGUCUUACGGCGCAAGUGAAAUACCACUACUUUUAACGUUAUUUUACUUAUUUCGUGAGGUGGAGCCGGGGCUCUGCCCCUGCUUCUUGAUCCAAGGUGCAGAUCCUCGUGGCAUGUCCGAUCCAAGCGAAAGACAUUGUCAGGUGGGGAGUUUGGCUGGGGCGGCACAUCUGUUAGAAGAUAACAUAGGUGUCCUAAGAUGAGCUCAACGAGAACAGAAAUCUCGUGUGGAGCAAAAGGGCAAAAGCUCAUUUGAUUUUGAUUUCCUGUACGAAUACAAAC